GGAGGGGUGGCCGAGUGGUUUAAGGCGACGGUUUGCUAAACCGUUCUGCGACUGAAAGGUUGCAGCUGGGGUUCGAAUCCCCACCCCUCCG
Molecule: transfer RNA, 91 nt
Filed under: Candidatus Omnitrophota bacterium
Lineage: Bacteria; Pseudomonadati; Candidatus Omnitrophota
Description: tRNA-Ser
Rfam family: tRNA
About the family: Transfer RNA (tRNA) molecules are approximately 80 nucleotides in length. Their secondary structure includes four short double-helical elements and three loops (D, anti-codon, and T loops).
Source: RNAcentral